UACGGGGGGAGCGAACGUUGUUCGGAAUCACUGGGCGUAAAGGGCGUGUAGGCGGCUGAAUAAGUGGGAUGUUAAAUCCCCCGGCUCAACCGGGGACCUGCAUCUCAUACUGCCGGACUAGAGUAUGGGAGAGGAUGAGGGAAUUCCUGGUGUAGCGGUGAAAUGCGUAGAUAUCGGGAGGAACACCAGUGGCGAAGGCGAGUCUCUGGCCUAAUACUGACGCUGAUGCGCGAAAGCUAGGGGAGCAAACGGG
Molecule: ribosomal RNA, 253 nt
Filed under: uncultured bacterium
Lineage: Bacteria
Description: partial 16S ribosomal RNA
Rfam family: Bacterial small subunit ribosomal RNA
Source: RNAcentral